Molecule: long non-coding RNA, 478 nt
Filed under: Saimiri boliviensis boliviensis (Bolivian squirrel monkey)
Lineage: Eukaryota; Metazoa; Chordata; Mammalia; Primates; Cebidae
Description: lncRNA (ENSSBOG00000036601.1)
Source: RNAcentral
GGUGGGGAACCAGCUGGGAAUCUGCGUUGGGAGUUGCUGGAAGUCGGAGGCGGGGGAGCUGCCACUCGCAGCGAGCUCGGGCAGCGGCAGGGUGCAAAGUUGAGAGCAGUCCUUAGUCUAAGCCUUUCCUCCGCCCUCCGGGACCUCCAGUACCAUGGACUCCACCCUACCGCGGCCCCUCGGCAACGCGGUGCAGCCGCCACUCAACCAGGCGUAGUCCCUAUUCUACAGCUGGGAAAACAGGCAUGCAGAGCCGAGGCAGAGCUGGAGUCCAGACGCUCUGGGAGGCCACCGGCAUGGAAGAAGGGAGCUGCCUCCCUUCCUGGAGCCCGGUUCCUGUCUGGGAUGCCAGAAAACAGUUUGGGGAAGCCAAGUGAGAAUGGAAUUCUCACUCUGCCUGGAACAUAGUUCUUCUUGAAUGAACUGAGGAUACAAGAAUGGUGUUGCACUGCUAUUACAGAAUACUACAGACCAGGUA